CCGGCGACCGGCGCACGGGUGAGUAACACGUAUGGAACCUGCCCNAGCAGGGGGAUAAGCGGAAGAAAUUCCGUCUAAUACCGCGUAACACCGCAGAGGGGCAUCCCUCGGCGGUUAAAGAUUCAUCGGCUGCGGAUGGCCAUGCGGCGCAUUAGCUAGUCGGCGGGGUAACGGCCCACCGAGGCGACGAUGCGUAGGGGUUCUGAGAGGAAGGUCCCCCACACUGGUACUGAGACACGGACCAGACUCCUACGGGAGGCAGCAG
This 265-nucleotide ribosomal RNA is filed under the name uncultured bacterium. RNAcentral describes it as "partial 16S ribosomal RNA". It matches the Rfam family "Bacterial small subunit ribosomal RNA", at positions 88 to 354 of the family's 1533-position model. The record is from RNAcentral.